Molecule: long non-coding RNA, 4700 nt
Organism: Cyprinus carpio carpio
Lineage: Eukaryota; Metazoa; Chordata; Actinopteri; Cypriniformes; Cyprinidae
Source: Ensembl
ACACUCAAAUAGAGUUUUACGGUUGCACACUCAUUGCAGGCUGUAAUACCUUGCUCUGCAUUAACCUUUUACAGUGAUAUUUAAUUAAAGGUUUAAAGGGCACCCAACACCUGCACCAUGCUCUGAAUGCAGCCUCCGCCACUAAGUGACGGCACGACGGAGGAGUGUGGCAAUUAGCAUGACCUUAAAACAGGCACGGACGCUCUCUUGCCCAUGCUGUGCAGAGCCUUGCCUGCCCCAUGGCAUGCUGGGGCAAUCGAGAUGGCCCCCAAGCUGACAUGCUCCCCUGCAAAAAGGGAAGAAAGUUUGGAAUGAAUGGAAUGGAAUUGGGAGGAACAACUUCCUCUCAAUCAGUAUGACUUCCGAAAUGCAGUGGGAAUGUCUGAGUGCAGAAUCAACCAAUCAGAAAUUUGCAAAAAGGCAGCAGAAGGUGUCAUCUUCAUUGGACCUGACACACAUGCUACUCAAACCAUGGGAGACAAGAUCAGAGGCAAAUUAAUCGCCAAGAUGCCAAGGUCAGUGUCGUGCCCCCAUACACGUGGGCUGGUCAAGAAGACAGCAAUACAGGAUGAAGUUUAUUUACAUCGCUGUCAACUGUUCCCUGCAUAGCAACAAAGCCAAUGAUUUCCACAUAAGAGCAGUAGGGAGACUCGGGUAGACAGCCCCUCCAGAGCCCGCUGAAGUGAAGCAUUAGUUGGGUAUGUUGGCUGGUCUCGCCCGGCCGCCCCACAGCAGGUUUGAAGCCUCUUCUAUCUUUGCCUCCAUUCAAUAGAAGAGCUGCUCCCCCUGCUGCCUGUCUCAAGCAACAACUUCCUCUUCCCUCACCCCUUUCAAUGGCACCCUUCACAUUUUCUCUCAUUUAAUCCCUAUUUCUUUCUCUCUCUGCAGUGAAACAGUAAGGAUGGUCCUGAUGAUACCCGUUUAGCAGUGGCUGACAUGAGUAGAGGUCUAUCAAGGAGGUCUGUUAAGCUAAUGGCGAGACAGAAACCCAUAUGGGAGGCCUUUUCCUAUGGAUACAGCUGCUGCGUUCCAGCUCUGUAGCUCUACGUUUGUGGGUUCAAUUAACUCAUACUGAUGCUUGCUUAAUUCAAUCUCCUGUUAGAAAUGUUUCAGUGUGCCAACAUAAUAACUGUAAUCACCUUGUCAUCAAGUCCCAUUGAACUCAAUCAUCCGCCUCUGAAAUGCAUUAUUCCCGUGUUUGACAGCCUACAGAGUCUUCAUGUUACUUUGUGUUCAUCUGAUCAUGAUUGAGAGAUUUAAAUGAACUUUUUUUUUAGACCUCUUUGCUGAGGUAGCACGUAUCCCAUGUUAUUUUACAAAUGGUCAGUUGUCAUAAUCUUAAUUUUACUGGCUCAAAGUUUCAAAUUAAGUUGCUCUCUGCUGGUAGGCUUUGCUUUCAGAUGCAUUAAAUUUAUAUGAAUCAACUGUAAAGACAUUUAUAAUGUUGAAAAAUAUUUCUUUAUCAAAUAAAUGCUGUUCUUUUGAACUUUCUAUUCAUCAAAAAUCUUGAAAAAAGGCAUCAUGGUUUCCACAAAAAUAUUAAACAGCACAACUGUUUUCAAAAAUUGAUAAUAAUAAGGAAUGUUUCUUGAGCAGCAUAUUAGAAUGGUUUCUGAAGGAUCAUGUGACACUGAAGACUGGAGUAAUAGCUAAUGGAAAUUCAGCUUUGCUAUCAUAGGAAUAGAUGACAUUUCAAAAUAUAUUAAAAUAGAAAGUUUGUUUGAUGUUUGUUUAUUUAAAAAACAUUAAAAAAAAAUAAUGGGACUCCAAAGUUUUGAACUUCACACAUAUUAAUCAAACUUCACUUGUUCUUGGCUUUGUGUGCUUUGCUUUUAAAAAAAAUGGAGGUGAUGCCUGAUGUGUAUUUAAUUCUUCAAAUAUUCAAUUACACGUUGUGUCAUGUAUAAUAACGGAGCAAGUUAACCUACUGACUGAUGGACACAAUGCUGGAUCUUCUCCUAAUCACUCUUUCGUUCUCUUUAACAGAACCAUGAUGGUACGAUGGCUCUGACAUUCUGUUCAUACCCCCAUCCAUUGAUUGUCUGCACCAUAAGCCCCAAGAGGGAGCUUAUUUGGGCCUGGCUGCAGCAUGCGGGUGUGUUAGGGAGCACAGGGUGGUCCCAUGGACCAGAGAGGGCAGCUAACUGGAGUAAACAGGACUCAGCAGGCUUAGUGUUUGUGUUUACUCUGCUGGAGAGGAGGCCAUUAGAGCAAACAGCCAGCGUUUCUUCACAUGUUGCUGAAAAUCACCCCAACCUUCAUUCACUCCUGUUUGGCACUACUAACACCCAGCCAGUGUGCCCAGAUGGCCCUGCUUUCCAGAUCUCUCACUGUUUCUGCCCUCUCUCCCCUCCCUCAAUGUGCCGUGGCGUCAUUAAAAGUGUCUGUGAGCGGGAGGUGUAAAAAAGGGUGCCGAGAGAGGAAGCAGAAAACAAUUUAGUGGCAUUUAAAAAUAAAGUCCUCCCCCUAUUUACAUGGCCUAUCUAAUCCAAUCUAGGCUGUGUCUGCAUUUUUAAUUUGCACAUUCAAGCAAGCUUCAGAGAGGAACCUAGGCUUAAUUAGUUUAGUUAUCUCCCCUCAUGAAUGGAUAAAGUUCCCACACUGCUGGUGUUUCAGAUGAAGCCUAAUUGGAUUUCGAGGCCAAAAACAAAAGGAGUAAUAAAAGAAAUGAGGGUUAGAUAACAGAGGAAGAUUGAAUUGAUAAAGUGAAAGGGGAAUGAACUGUAGUCACAGCUGAGGAGAGAGACAAGAUGCGGUCGAGAUCCUCGUUUGAGGUCAAAAUCAGUGUAUUAGGGCCAAUGACAUAUGAAGAAAAAUCUUUUUAAAGAAUGAAAAAAAAAUGAAUUGGAAACUCUUAGAAAUGUACUCUUUUCUUAUUAGUUUCAUGUGGUAUAACCAAGUACAAACACUGUGAAGAUGUGCAAAAUAUCUUCUCAAAUAUAUAUGAGUAAUCUUAAUCAUUAUUUCCAAACAAAGUUAGUAUAUAAUAUUAUGUUUAAUAAGUUCAAUAUGUUAUAUUUAACAUAUAAAGUAUUUUUGAAUUUAAAAUUCAUAAAUAUUUAAAUUUUUGGAUAAUCUCCCUGCAUGAUAUUGUACACUUGAUCUCACACUACCUUUCUAAUAUUUAAUCAUAAAUUACUUGUAUAAAUAUUUUAGUUUUUCUUAUUUUUCUGAAUUUUUGUCUUUUAAUUGGCCUUUAUCUUCAUUAUAUCAGGACAGUUGUAUGUGAUGUUUUCUAUGUUUUAUAUAUUACUGAAACAUUUUGCAUUUUAAAUGACACAAAAUUUACAACACCCCCUCAAGACCCCUCCAGGGGUUUCAGUGCAAUUUGCCAGAAAUGGCGCAUUUGAAUAUAAAAUCCAGGCCUCAAGAAAAGUAAGCCCACAUUCGGUUUUAAAUCUCAACCAGUCUUUGCCAGUAUACCGUAAUAAUACAGUUUCGUUCAGCUAGAGCAAAAGUGUCAGCAUGUUUAAAAAUCAUCAUUCUUAAAGAGACAACUGAGCCUGAGUAAAUCAAUUAUUGAACAUUACCCUUCAUUGUGAUAUCUGAUUCGAACAAGGUCAAGGGAAUUAUUAAUAACCUUCUGUUCUCUUUCACAGACACGUUUACAAAUUAGCACUUCUCACAGGCCUGGGACCUGCUUUAUGAAGCCGAGUUUUCGGAGCAGCCUGGAAGUGUGAAAGAGUUCCAGAGGGCAGAGCAUUUGGAGAAGUCUAGAUAAUGAGAGUCUUUUGUUAAUGCCAUUGAUCUCGAUUCAAUUAGUGAAAAGGGCCCAUGUUUGUGACUACUGUGUGCACAGCAUAUGUGUGUUUCUGUAUGUAAUUGACUUUGUAAGUCCUCAAAGAGUAAACUUGUAGCAGUUUCAAACAUUCAAUGUUAUUGUCAAGCACAAAUGAACAGCCAAGUAUGUGUGUCUUUUUUCUGUUUCUGAUUUUUUUUUUUUUUCUUUUUUUUCUUUAGCCAACUGAGCUGGUUUGGGGCUGAUCUUGUGUGAUGUAUAGAUUAAUUAAAUAAGCAUAUUGAUUCCUGUUCUGGCAACACAGAGUGUGGGGUUUUAAUUAGCCCACGCUUGAGUGUGUUAAAAUUCCUGUCUUAUCUGUGUGGAACCAAGUGGAACUAAAAACUGAAUGCAUGAGGGCUGCUCAUCAACUCAAAAUCUCCAAUAACCUUUUUUUCCCCCUUGUUUGUUUUAGUCCAACCCAAACCUCAAACUUUAUUGUAAGUGUAUGAUUUAUAUGCCAACAUUUUCAUUCCCAAUAUUAAUUUUUUUAUCUCCAAGGAAUACAAAAUAGUUAAGUAAAUAAUACAUAUAUAAAACAAACAAUUAUGUAUGUAUGUGUGUGUAUAUAUAUAUACAAAUAUACAAAGACUGUUUUGAGUGAUUAAUCACUCUGAUGUGGUCUUAAUUUUUAAGUUAUUUCUUUCAAAAAAUCUUAUUUGAAACUAAAAAAUAUACUAAAUAUUUUUCUGAUACAGGUUUUAAAAUAUCAAAGUUUUACUUAUAUUUCCUUGUAGUAUUUUUGGAUAUAUAAAUACAGUGAUCCAUAUGACCAUAAUACGGUGGCCAAGAAAUGCAAAACAGAUUACAAUUCUGAAAACAAAAUAACAAAUUACAAAUGCAAACCUAAAAAACAAAAUAACAAUUCAGAAAACACAACAACAAUUCAGAAAAUAUUAUAACAAGUCAGAAAACACAAUGA